Molecule: ribosomal RNA, 467 nt
Filed under: Escherichia coli
Lineage: Bacteria; Pseudomonadati; Pseudomonadota; Gammaproteobacteria; Enterobacterales; Enterobacteriaceae
Description: bacterial SSU rRNA
Rfam family: Bacterial small subunit ribosomal RNA
Source: RNAcentral
GUCAGCUCGUGUUGUGAAAUGUUGGGUUAAGUCCCGCAACGAGCGCAACCCUUAUCCUUUGUUGCCAGCGGUCCGGCCGGGAACUCAAAGGAGACUGCCAGUGAUAAACUGGAGGAAGGUGGGGAUGACGUCAAGUCAUCAUGGCCCUUACGACCAGGGCUACACACGUGCUACAAUGGCGCAUACAAAGAGAAGCGACCUCGCGAGAGCAAGCGGACCUCAUAAAGUGCGUCGUAGUCCGGAUUGGAGUCUGCAACUCGACUCCAUGAAGUCGGAAUCGCUAGUAAUCGUGGAUCAGAAUGCCACGGUGAAUACGUUCCCGGGCCUUGUACACACCGCCCGUCACACCAUGGGAGUGGGUUGCAAAAGAAGUAGGUAGCUUAACCUUCGGGAGGGCGCUUACCACUUUGUGAUUCAUGACUGGGGUGAAGUCGUAACAAGGUAACCGUAGGGGAACCUGCGGUUGG